UAGGGAAUCUUCGGCAAUGGACGAAAGUCUGACCGAGCAACGCCGCGUGAGUGAAGAAGGUUUUCGGAUCGUAAAACUCUGUUGUUAGAGAAGAACAAGGACGUUAGUAACUGAACGUCCCCUGACGGUAUCUAACCAGAAAGCCACGGCUAACUACGUGCCAGCAGCCGCGGUAAUACGUAGGUGGCAAGCGUUGUCCGGAUUUAUUGGGCGUAAAGCGAGCGCAGGCGGUUUCUUAAGUCUGAUGUGAAAGCCCCCGGCUCAACCGGUGAGGGUCAUUGGAAGCUGGGCGACUUGAGUGCAGAAGAGGAGAGUGGAAUUCCAUGUGUAGCGGUGGAAUGCGUAGAUAUAUGGAGGAACACCAGUGGCGAAGGCGGCUCUCUGGUCUGUAACUGACGCUGAGGCUCGAAAGCGUGGGGAGCAAACAGU
This 429-nucleotide ribosomal RNA is filed under the name Chloroflexota bacterium. RNAcentral describes it as "Chloroflexi bacterium partial 16S ribosomal RNA". It matches the Rfam family "Bacterial small subunit ribosomal RNA", at positions 355 to 776 of the family's 1533-position model. Lineage: Bacteria; Bacillati; Chloroflexota. The record is from RNAcentral.